This 905-nucleotide ribosomal RNA is filed under the name Arthrinium sp. FW2SW6. RNAcentral describes it as "SSU rRNA". It matches the Rfam family "Eukaryotic small subunit ribosomal RNA", at positions 76 to 991 of the family's 1831-position model. The record is from RNAcentral. Lineage: Eukaryota; Fungi; Ascomycota; Sordariomycetes; Amphisphaeriales; Apiosporaceae.
AUACGGCGAAACUGCGAAUGGCUCAUUAAAUCAGUUAUCGUUUAUUUGAUAGUACCUUACUACUUGGAUAACCGUGGUAAUUCUAGAGCUAAUACAUGCUUAAAAUCCCGACUCACGAAGGGAUGUAUUUAUUAGAUUAAAAACCAAUGCCCUUCGGGGCUCUUUGGUGAUUCAUAAUAACUUUUCGAAUCGCAUGGCCUUGCGCCGGCGAUGGUUCAUUCAAAUUUCUGCCCUAUCAACUUUCGAUGGCAGGGUCUUGGCCUGCCAUGGUGACAACGGGUAACGGAGGGUUAGGGCUCGACCCCGGAGAAGGAGCCUGAGAAACGGCUACUACAUCCAAGGAAGGCAGCAGGCGCGCAAAUUACCCAAUCCCGACUCGGGGAGGUAGUGACAAUAAAUACUGAUACAGGGCUCUUUUGGGUCUUGUAAUUGGAAUGAGUACAAUUUAAAUCCCUUAACGAGGAACAAUUGGAGGGCAAGUCUGGUGCCAGCAGCCGCGGUAAUUCCAGCUCCAAUAGCGUAUAUUAAAGUUGUUGCAGUUAAAAAGCUCGUAGUUGAACCUUGGGCCUGGCUGGCCGGUCCGCCUCACCGCGUGCACUGGUUCGGCCGGGCCUUUCCCUCUGGGGAACCGCAUGCCCUUCACUGGGUGUGUCGGGGAACCAGGACUUUUACUGUGAAAAAAUUAGAGUGUUCAAAGCAGGCCUAUGCUCGAAUACAUUAGCAUGGAAUAAUAGAAUAGGACGUGUGGUUCUAUUUUGUUGGUUUCUAGGACCGCCGUAAUGAUUAAUAGGGACAGUCGGGGGCGUCAGUAUUCAAUUGUCAGAGGUGAAAUUCUUGGAUUUAUUGAAGACUAACUACUGCGAAAGCAUUCGCCAAGGAUGUUUCAUUAAUCAGGAACGAAAGUU